RNAcentral lists this ribosomal RNA (468 nucleotides) under uncultured bacterium. RNAcentral describes it as "partial 16S ribosomal RNA". It matches the Rfam family "Bacterial small subunit ribosomal RNA", at positions 28 to 507 of the family's 1533-position model. The record is from RNAcentral.
GAUGAACGCUGGCGGCGUGCUUAACACAUGCAAGUCGAACGGUGAAGGCGGAGCUUGCUCUGCUGGAUCAGUGGCGAACGGGUGAGUAACACGUGAGCAAUCUGCCCCUGACUCUGGGAUAAGCGCUGGAAACGGCGUCUAAUACUGGAUACGAGCUGCGAAGGCAUCUUCAGCAGCUGGAAAGAACUUCGGUCAGGGAUGAGCUCGCGGCCUAUCAGCUUGUUGGUGAGGUAACGGCUCACCAAGGCGUCGACGGGUAGCCGGCCUGAGAGGGUGACCGGCCACACUGGGACUGAGACACGGCCCAGACUCCUACGGGAGGCAGCAGUGGGGAAUAUUGCAACAUGGGCGAAAGCCUGAUGCAGCAACGCCGCGUGAGGGACGACGGCCUUCGGGUUGUAAACCUCUUUUAGCAGGGAAGAAGCGAAAGUGACGGUACCUGCAGAAAAAGCGCCGGCUAACUACGUG